CCCAAGAGAUCGGGAUAACACCUGGAAACAGAUGCUAAUACCGGAUAACAACAGAUGAUGCCUAUCAACUGUUUAAAAGAUGGUUCUGCUAUCACUCUUGGAUGGACCUGCGGUGCAUUAGCUAGUUGGUAGGGUAACGGCCUACCAAGGCGAUGAUGCAUAGCCGAGUUGAGAGACUGAUCGGCCACAUUGGGACUGAGACACGGCCCAAACUCCUACGGGAGGCAGCAGCG
Molecule: ribosomal RNA, 233 nt
Filed under: uncultured Lactobacillus sp.
Lineage: Bacteria; Bacillati; Bacillota; Bacilli; Lactobacillales; Lactobacillaceae
Description: partial 16S ribosomal RNA
Rfam family: Bacterial small subunit ribosomal RNA
Source: RNAcentral